RNAcentral lists this unclassified non-coding RNA (4487 nucleotides) under Hevea brasiliensis (rubber tree). Lineage: Eukaryota; Viridiplantae; Streptophyta; Magnoliopsida; Malpighiales; Euphorbiaceae. The record is from RNAcentral.
AGGAACUUCCUUGAAUACAAGAAAUAUCAUGAAAAUUUUGUAAUAUACAAAUUAUGAAUCAUGUCCUUUUUACUAUAAUUCACCACUUGCAAUUAACAUCAAAACUCCAUGCUAAUACACAACAGUUUGUAGGCUGCACAUUAUUUAAGGUAUAAAUAUACACUAUACAACAAACUGAUGAGUUCUCUCAGAUAAAAGGAGAAAUCAAACUCUAAUUUACAAAAAGAGCGUGACUCAGAUUUGCCAAUCCUUUCUUACUUGACAACUUCUCUCUGUCUUAAUAGUUCUCAUUUAGCUUAAAUACAGAGCUGACAUAUUCUUCUGUGUCCCAAAGGAAAGAACCAAAAGCAACUGCCUCCAAAAUUAAUCUCCUCAGGCUUGAAAAAGAAGUCAAAAUAACCUCAUCAUUCUCCAGCAAACCAUUCUUGUCAUUCCCAAAAAGUGCACAGCUAUGCUUCUCAAUCAAAUUUACAGCCUCUUUAGAUUUCAGUUUCGCACAUCUCUGCAAUGUCUCAGCGUCAAAACCCAUCACAUAGCACUUCAAAUUUUCAUGUUUACAGUCCUGCUUGCUUGACCCUUGACCGGAUGAAACAGAUUGCACGUUGCUUAUGUGACCAAAAACUAGAUUUGAUAGAUCAUGAGGUAAUGAGUCUUGAAGUUGAAGCACAUUCCUACAAUUAAGGUGAAUAUCUUGGUGGGGCACAGCUAGACACCUUUCUAAAUAAUGCUUCAAGGAGGCAGACUUCAAGAAGUAACCAUAUAAGAUGGAGGCUGCAUACACCUGACCAAGCUGGAGUAGCUGGAUCUCAGUUGUUGCCCAACAGUCUGUGACACUAGAAUUCGCUCUCAAGCCAAUUACUGAAAAGACAUGUUCCCUUAUCAUCUCUAAAAUGUCGAAGCUAUGAAUGGACUCUAGUUCCCAGUCCUUUGAAGGCCAUAUCUCUAGUCUGCUAUUAUAAAUGCAACUAGAGAGCUUUGGAACCAAAGGGACUCUGAUCUCAGAGAAUUUGAAAAGUAUUAACAUGUACAUAAUAUCUUCAACAGCAAUUUGGCACUCGUGUUCUUUCAGUUCAGCAAUUCUCCUGACAUUCAGAAAUAUAAUUAAUUAGUUAAAAGUAUUUAUAACAUCACAUCCACCCAUAUACAGAAGUUGCCAAGAACUCUCAUCCAUCCUAUGUUCAAGUUAGCAAAAAGUGCUGCACAAAUAGUACCCACUGAAGUUAUUGCUAUCAUAGCCUGCAAGGUGCUUUCCAUGUUAGCAUUACCUUGGCAUUCAACUGCUGCCCAUUAAGCAGACAAAUAUUUUUAUUUUUUUAAUUAUACAAAUUUUCUGUGUAAUCUAUGUUAAGAAUUAUCCAUGAAGUAAAAUAUCUAUCAGAGAAGGUUUAAAUUCACAGUUAAGUUCUCAAACUAGGAUAUCAAAUUAAAUAUAGAUCAAAUCAGUCAGCCUUGGUCACCCACUCAAGAUGUAAGGAAAAGUAGCUCAAUACCUGCUUUAGGAACUAACAAUCUACACUUCAACACAGCAGAACUCUACUGAUACAAAGAAUAUUAUUGCAUUGUAAACUUGUAGGCAUUGAUAGACUAAACACAUCUAAAUCCAGUGCAUUAAGGUAUCACUACCUGCAUCAUUUGCUAAUUCUCCUUCUCUUGGCCCAUAAAUUUUUCAAGGCUUUUCAGGGCCUCAGAAAGAUAAGCUAAAUGAAAAGUAAAAAUUAUCAAUGAAGCUAAGGUUUCUCAACAAAGUCCCUAAUCGAUGUGCUUCAACAUGUGGCCUGACCAUUGUUUGACAAUACAUAAAUAAAGAGGACUAACUAGUUUUGAAGAUGUUUGCACAAAAGGAGUAAUUUUUUUUUUUCAUGAACAUUCACGAAAAAGGCAUUCCUGAACUGAACCUCAUUCUCUGCAGUUAUAACAUGAAAUGUGACUUCCUUUUCAAUCAUUUAACUCAACAUAUAGGUAGCCUUCCUCUGCACCUAAUAAGCAUAGUUUCUCUUAAAUAAUCAGUUCUCCUACAUAUGGCAGACUCUAAAAUUGCAUCCUAGUUUCUAUGUUAUGAAUUAAGAGAUAAAUCCAAUGAUUGCCAGCAAUUGCUACAUGUUAAAGUAAGGAAUAACCACACCACAUGAAAAGUUAAGAGGGAAGAUGAUAAAAGAAUAUAAAGCAUAAAAUGGAUUAAUACAUAUCUAAUAUGUAGCAGUACAAAUGAACCAAGUCCAACUGGUCAAGGUUGGUUCAGCGAGGCAUUGUUAACAGUAGUGCAAGGUGCAACAGCCCAAGGUGACAAAGGAUUAUGUGCUCUGCAUGUUCUUAUCUGGUAUUAAUAAAGGCUUGCUCGCAUCCAUAAUAGCAGGAGAUUGGGACAUUGAUACGAGAUAAGAAUGUGCAGAGGCCAAAUGACAAUUUGAGAGUCCAAAUAUUCGUUGGCUAAAACUGUAGAUCACCUAUAAUGAAAACUAAGUUCACAUAAGAAAUUGAAUAAUGAUCAUUAGAGUAUGCAUUUGCACCAAAAACAAUAGAUCGGAAACACAGAUAUACCAUUACGCAACACAAUAUUCUGUAUGCUACUUCGAUUGUUUACUUACAAAUAUGAACCAUAAAAGGCAUGAGUAACAAACUAAAGAAUUUCUUAUUCAAAGAACACUAGAAUGCCCUUUAAGAAACAAUGUUAUGGCUGCGCUCAUCUGCAUCUCCAGUACCUGUACCAGUACUUGAACCUAUUUCCAGAAAACAGGACAUUCUCAAGCUAGAUUGCACAUGAAAUUAAUUAAAAUGUUUUGUUGUGACCUAAAAAUGAGAUGGGACUCACCAUCCCACACGUCCCAUUUAGUAGACCACGUCUACCAAUAACAUACUUGAUUUAAUAAUUUUAGCCAUCUAUAUCUAUUUCAAUUCAAAUUCCAUCCAUGGGAUUUUAUUGAAAUUAAGUAGCUCCAUUGUCAAAAGUCAGAACAAAUUUAUCAUUCACAUGCUCCUGUAAAUGACAACCAUGAUCUAUUAAAUAACAUAAAUAUCAUUUGGGAAAGAGAAUAACUAGGGGAACUCAAUCUAAGUCAAGUCCUUCCCCAAACAUGAGACUUUUGUUAUUUGUAAGGAAGUUAGAAUUAAGUACUUACAAGUGAAUUAAGUACUUACGACUUACGAGUAUCUCCAAUGAUUCUCUAUCAUAGUAAUAAACCACAAUGUUGGAGUUGAAGGUAGUUUAAUUUUUCAUAAAGAGGGUUUAAACUUUUUCCCCCCCUUUAACCCCUCAAGAAUGCGUGCACUUUCUGGUGCAUAAAUUCCCAAACAUUACCAUAAAAUCAAUCAAGAAAGGCGAUGAAUAGAACCCCCCUUUCCUUCAUUUUUCCCCCUCCCAAAAGAAGAGCAACAUGGUCCAACCCUACUUGAUUGAUUAUAAGCUAAGGCUAUGUUUGCAGCAAGGAGUCGUCUGGAGUCUUGUGUUUUUGAAACAGACUCCCAGUUUCCGGUCAGAUUCCAUGAGAAAUAGAGGCCCUUAUAGAGGACAUUAGCUCUUUUGUCUGAUCAUUCUAAUUAUGUUCUUAGUUUCAUUCCUAGAUCAGCUAACCGAAGUGCUAACUGGGUUGCUAACAUUGCUAGAAUGAGUCUUCUUCAGCCAGGAUGGUCUACUUUCUUACUGUCCCAAUUAUCCUCUCUGUUAGCUGAAGAUGUUAUGUAAUCUGGAUACUUUUAUAUGAAUAAAUCUGUUUCUUUCUCUGGUAAAAAAGUGCGAUGAGUUCCAAUUCAAAAGCAUGUAUCACCUCCCCCCUUCAAAAAAAUACCAUCGCAUGGCAUCCUAUACAAUUGCUAGAGAACCCAGUAGUUGCUGCAUAUUCUGCUAUCAAAAGUAAGGCUUAUCCUCCUACACUUCGUAAUGUAGCCCAUUUCUUUAACACACAAAAAGCUGACCCUAUCGUCUUCAAAAUCAAGUUAACUACAAGGACUGGAAGUAUAUAGACAGAUAUAGAAAAACAAAACAUUAUCAGAUAGGACAAACCUGUGAAGGAAGGCUUCAUCGGAGCCAGAGCUAAGUAACAUGCGAGAAACAGCACCAUCUCUAUCUUCAGCCAAAAGCUUCAACUCAUCAGCGACCGCAACAUGAAACAACUGUCUCUGAUUCUGAAACACACCGGACAAAAACUUCCCAGCGGCCGAGCACGGCUCAAGAGGCGUGUUCAAGCUACUGCUGCUGGGCUCGCAGUGGCUAGAGCCUGCUCUGGCAACAAAGACCAGGGGCGAUCGUACUUCCCGUCGAAGGAAAGUACUCGUACAAGUUAGGCUCCGAUCGGCGAACUUGAGGAUAAAAGAGGGAGGGUAAACUAAGCGCAAAUAACCGGAUUUUACCGUCGACGGUAAAAAAUGGGGAGAUAGAUUUGUGAGGGUAGAGGAUAGGCUAUAGUCCAUCAAAAGACAAAUAACUGCCAAUGGAGGUUUCCCAAUGGACGCGCUCCGAUGUACCAGAAAUUGGAUGUGGAUAAGGGUUUACA